CAUGGUGAUCUGGUUUAGGAGUCUCGAGUUCAUGUCCAUCGACUUCGGCUACCUCAUCACACAGUCACUUACUUUGGCAGGGGGUAAGCCAUAAUAAUAAUGAUAAUAAAAUAUAAGCUCAUGGGUAAAUAACACAGUGAUUAGAAAAUAGACUACUCCUCGUAUAUGUAAGGUGACGUCAGAUUAGGUAGAGAAUGGAUUCUAAGUUAUCUCCUAUCUACUAAGUCAUA
RNAcentral lists this long non-coding RNA (230 nucleotides) under Sorghum bicolor (sorghum). Its description in RNAcentral is "long non-coding RNA (SBIC_LNC004660)". Lineage: Eukaryota; Viridiplantae; Streptophyta; Magnoliopsida; Poales; Poaceae. The record is from RNAcentral.